Molecule: long non-coding RNA, 509 nt
Organism: Haplochromis burtoni (Burton's mouthbrooder)
Lineage: Eukaryota; Metazoa; Chordata; Actinopteri; Cichliformes; Cichlidae
Exons: 3
Source: RefSeq, a predicted model, not a curated record
UUAGCCUAUUUAGUCAUCUUAGAAUCUCUUUUUCAGUUUGCUGAAAAGAUCUUGCGAAAAGAGUCAAUAGACUUUCCGUCUACAAAAAAAAGCCAUAAACACACACAGGCUGCAAAUUGCCACCACUCCUCUCCUAGAGACAGAUGACUUGACAAACAUCUGUCAUUUCUGCGGGGAAGAAGAGCAUGCAACUGACAACAAAUGGAUUCAGUGUGAGAUGUGUUUGCGGUGGUUCCACCAGCUCUGCGUGAAAAGCCCACCACCAGAAGAUGUGUUUAUUUUUUUCGCUUGUACAUAGUUGACACUAAAGGUCCACAGCUAGUGUUCUUAUGGCACACAUUGUUGAGAAAGUGUCGGAUUGGCAACAGCUUCAAGAAGGCUGAUUUCUUUUUUGUCUUUAUUUUGAUAAGUUUAUUUGCCACAUAAUGCUUUGGACACGUCAGAUCUGUGUUGAGAGGACUCAGAAGUACAACACAAAAGCAAAGCUUUUAAAGCCGAAAAAGGGCCUU